AGGGAGGAGGAGCCUGGCCUGCGGUCCCUUCCCUCCCCACCCCCUUUUAGGGGUUCUUUGGUGGGCGUGGGGUCGGGGGGGAGGGUGGGGCUUUUUAGAGUGCUGGGGAACUUUUUCCCCUUCUUCUGGCUCGGGGAAAGGGAAUGCCCAAUUCCGAGAGACAUGGGGGUAAGAAGGACGCGAGCGGAGGAGCUUCUGGAACUUCGCAGCCGUCAUCGGGAGGUGGCAGCUCCAACAGCAGGGAGCGUCACCGCUUGGUGUCGAAGCACAAGCGGCAUAAGUCCAAGCACUCCAAAGAUACGGGGUUGGUGACCCCCGAAGCAGCAUCUUUGGGUACAGUGAUCAAACCUUUGGUGGAGUAUGAUGACAUCAGCUCGGAUUCAGACACCUUCUCGGAUGACAAGUCCUUCAAAUCAGACAGGAGGGAGAAUGAUGAGCGUCGUGGAACGGAUCGGAGUGACCGCCUGCACAGACAUCGUCACCACCAGCACCGGCGGUCUCGAGACUUGCUAAGAACUAAGCAGACCGAGAAAGAAAAAAACCAGGAAGUCUCCAAAUCUGGGUCCACGAAGGACCGGAUAUCAGGAAGUUCAAAGCGUUCAGCGGAGGGGAGUGAUGACUAUGGGAAGGCACAAGUAUCCAAAAGCAGCAGCAAGGAAUCCAGGUCAUCCAAACUCCACAAGGAGAAGACCCGGAAAGAACGUGAGUUGAAGUCCGGGCACAAGGACCGGAGUAAAAGUCAUCGGAAAAGGGAAACACCCAAAAGAUACAAAACGGUGGAUAGCCCCAAACGGAGAUCCAGGAGUCCGCAUAGGAAAUGGUCUGACAGUUCCAAGCAAGAUGACAGCCCUUCAGGAGCGUCUUAUGGCCAAGACUACGACCUUAGCCCCCCAAGGUCUCACACUUCUAGCAAUUAUGACUCUUACAAGAAGAGUCCUGGGAGUACUUCAAGAAGGCAGUCAGCCAGCCCACCUUACAAAGAGCCUUCUGCUUACCAGUCCAGCGUUCGCUCACCCAGCCCCUACAGUAGACGACAGAGGUCUGUGAGUCCCUAUAGCCGGAGACGGUCAUCCAGCUACGAAAGGAGCGGCUCUUACAGCGGGAGAUCACCCAGUCCCUAUGGUCGAAGGCGAUCUAGCAGCCCUUUCUUGAGCAAGAGGUCUCUGAGUCGGAGUCCGAUCCCCAGUAGGAAAUCCAUGAAGUCCAGAAGCAGAAGUCCUGCAUAUUCAAGACACUCAUCUUCUCAUAGUAAAAAGAAGAGAUCCGGGUCACACAGCCGUCAUUCCAGUAUCUCACCUGUCAGGCUUCCAUUGAAUUCCAGCCUGGGAGCUGAACUCAGUAGGAAAAAGAAGGAAAGAGCAGCUGCUGCAGCAGCAGCAAAAAUGGAUGGAAAAGAUUCUAAGGGUUCACCCAUCACUCUGACUAAAAAAGAUAAAGUUGAGGUGAAGGAGUCAGGGGUAGAGUCUAAAAAGUUACCCAGAGGUAUAAAGUCAGAAAAAUCUAUCCCAGAUACUGAACUGAUAAAUGUAGCACAUUCAAACACAGAGGUAAAAAAUUGUUUAGAUGUAGGGAAAGUUAAGUUGGAUGAGAACCUGCAGAAGCAUCCUGUUCUUAAGGAUUUGAAAGCUCAGGGAGUAAAAGACACUAAACCUGUAGCACUGAAGGAGGUGAUUGUUACUUCUAAGGAGACAGAGACUUCAGAAAAGGAGGCCCUUCCACCUCUCCCCACAAUUACUUCUCCACCCCCUUUACCAUCUACUACCCCUCCACCUCAGGCACCCCCUUUGCCACCUUUGCCUCCACUACCAGCUAUUCCACUGCAGCCACCUCUGCCUCCUCCCCAACCACCAUCUAGUCAAGCUCCUGUUUCUAGUGCUUCAACUUUGCCCUCUUCUCACCCAAGGACAUCUACUCUGUGCUCUCAGACAAAUUCUCAGCCCCCUGUACAGGUUUCUGUGAAGACUCAAGUAUCUGUAACAGCUGCUAUUCCACAUCUGAAAACUUCAACAUUGCCUCCUCUGCCCCUCCCUCCCUUGUUACCUGGAGAUGAUGAUAUGGAUAGUCCAAGAGAAAUGGUUCCAUCAAAGCCUGCAAAGAAAGAGAAGGAGCAGAGAACUCGCCACCUACUCACCGAUUUGCCUCUUCCUCCUGAGCUACCAGGUGGUGAUCCAUCUCCCCCAGAUUCUCCAGAGCCAAAGGUGAUUACGCCUCCUCAACAACCAUAUAAAAAGAGACCAAAAAUUUGUUGUCCUCGUUAUGGAGAAAGAAGACAAACAGAAAGUGACUGGGGGAAGCGAUGUGUGGAUAAAUUUGACAUUAUUGGGAUUAUUGGAGAAGGAACGUAUGGCCAAGUAUAUAAAGCCAAGGACAAAGACACAGGAGAACUAGUAGCUCUGAAGAAGGUUCGACUAGAUAAUGAGAAAGAGGGCUUCCCAAUCACAGCCAUCCGAGAGAUCAAAAUCCUUCGUCAGUUAGUACAUCGAAGUGUUGUUAACAUGAAGGAAAUUGUUACAGACAAACAAGAUGCACUGGAUUUCAAGAAAGACAAAGGUGCCUUUUACCUUGUAUUUGAAUAUAUGGACCAUGACUUAAUGGGACUACUAGAAUCAGGUUUGGUGCACUUUUCUGAGGACCAUAUCAAGUCAUUCAUGAAACAGCUAAUGGAAGGAUUGGAUUACUGUCACAAAAAGAAUUUCCUCCAUCGGGAUAUUAAAUGUUCUAACAUUUUGCUGAAUAACAGUGGGCAAAUCAAACUAGCAGAUUUUGGACUUGCUCGGCUAUAUAACUCUGAAGAAAGUCGCCCUUACACAAACAAAGUCAUUACUUUGUGGUAUCGACCUCCAGAACUGCUACUGGGAGAGGAGAGAUACACACCAGCCAUUGAUGUUUGGAGCUGUGGAUGUAUUCUUGGGGAACUGUUCACAAAGAAACCUAUUUUUCAAGCCAAUUUGGAACUGGCUCAGCUAGAACUGAUCAGUCGUCUCUGUGGUAGCCCUUGUCCAGCAGUGUGGCCUGAUGUUAUUAAGCUGCCCUACUUCAACACCAUGAAACCGAAGAAGCAAUAUAGGAGACGUCUAAGAGAAGAAUUCUCUUUCAUUCCUUCAGCAGCUCUUGAUUUAUUGGACCACAUGCUGACACUUGAUCCUAGCAAGCGUUGCACAGCUGAACAGACCCUGCAGAGUGACUUCCUUAAAGAUGUAGAACUCAGCAAAAUGGCACCUCCAGACCUACCUCACUGGCAGGAUUGCCAUGAAUUGUGGAGUAAGAAACGUCGACGCCAGCGACAAAGUGGCAUUGUAAUAGAAGAACCACCUCCGCCCAAAGCUUCUCGAAAAGAAACUACCUCAGGGACAACAGUUGAGCCUGUGAAGAACAGUAGCCCAGCACCACCUCAGCCUGCUCCUGUCAAGGCAGAGCCUGCUCCUGGGGAUGCAGUAGGUCUUGGUGACAUCACACAGCAGUUGAAUCAAAGUGAAUUGGCAGUCUUAUUAAACCUGCUACAGAGCCAAACUGACCUGAGCAUCCCUCAAAUGGCACAGCUGCUUAAUAUCCACUCCAACCCAGAGAUGCAACAGCAGCUAGAAGCCUUGAAUCAAUCUAUUAGUGCACUGACUGAAGCCAGUUCCCAGCAGCAGGACUCAGAAUCCAUAGCCCCAGAGGAAUCGUUGAAGGAGGUACCCUCUGUAUCAGUGGUCAUGCCUUCAGCAGAACAGACAACUCCUGAAGCCUCAAAUACACCAGCUGACAUGCAGAAUAUGUUGGCAGUUCUCUUGAGUCAGCUGAUGAAAACCCAAGAGCCAGCAGGUGACCUGGAGGAAAACACCAGUGACAAGAAUAGUGGGCCACAGGGACCCCGAAGAACUCCUACAUUGCCACAGGAGGAGGCAGCAGCAUGUCCUCCUCACAUUCUUCCACCAGAGAAGAGGCCCCCUGAGCCCCCUGGACCUCCACCGCUGCCACCUCCACCCCCUCUGGUUGAAGGCGAUCUUUCCAGCGCCCCCCAGGAGUUGAAUCCCGCCGUGACAGCCGCCUUGCUGCAACUUUUAUCCCAGCCUGAAGCAGAGCCUCCUGGCCACCUGCCACAUGAGCACCAGGCCUUGAGACCAAUGGAGUACUCCACCCGAUCCCAUCCAAACAGGACUUAUGGAAACACUGAUGGGCCUGAAGCUGGUUUCAGUGCCGCUGACACUGAUGAACGCAGUUCUGGUCCAGCCUUGACAGAAUCUUUGGUCCAGACCCUGGUGAAGAACAGGACCUUUUCAGGCUCUGUGAGCCACCUUGGGGAGUCCAACAGUUACCAGGGCACAGGAUGGCAGCAACAGGAAUGGCCCCUGAAGAACUCGGGGACAUCCGUCAGUUACCUUGCAUCCAGAGCCUGUCAAACAGUCUCAUCCACAAUACUUGAAGUCAGGUUCAGUGGAAGAUUCUACCUAUCCAGAUACUGCCUGAGGCACCCGAAGUAGAGGCCUGCAGCCUGCCUCCUCUGUCUUCACUACUCAGAACCAGCACCUCCACCUUCCUUCCCUGCUAAUAUGGAAUCCAAGACCCAGAGAGGAAGAACCAAUGGAAUCCUGCUCUAAAGUUGCUUUAUGUUUUGGAUUUGGAGAGUUCCUGGGAGCACAGGGCAAGAAAAAGUAGAGCCAUAGACAGAAAGGAAAGCAGAGAAAGGCAUUGACAGAGGUACCAGUGCUAUGGUGCCAAAAAGAAACAACGGGCCAGAGAUGAAGCCAGGAGGAGAUGUCUGCUUCUGAAACAGCAUACUUGUCCCAUCUUCUUCCUUUUACAUGCCGCUGAGGUGAUAGGACCAAGUGUGCCAGCUCCCCUGGCUGGUGCGCCUGUUCCACUGUGCAGGCAGCCAGGACCCUGCCCUGCACAGAGCACAUACUAGGGUCUCACACUCUGUUGCUCACUCAUCUCUGUCUGUGUUGCAGAUUCCUAAGGAUGAAAUAGAGGCUGUGGCCCUGUGGUAGGACUUUGGUGUGCACUGGGGAUCACUGGAUACAUAUUUGCCUGUCUGUAAGAGGGGGUGGAAGAAGGCUGCUGCAUCUCAGCAGAGCUUGAGGUUCUGGUGACUCACAGUAAUGGGGGUGGUUCAUGAAAACAACAGAGGGGAAGGGGGAUCAAGUCUGCUAGAGUUUUCUUUUGCCCCAGUCCUGCCCACUCUGAGCUCUAUAGAUGAAAAAUCUCUCAUCGAGAUUAGGAGAUGUCCCAGCUAUGAAAGAAAGGGAGAGAUGAGAAGGAAGUAAGCAGGAGAUACUGAAUUUUCCUAGUGAAGAAAGACUGAGACAUCACCUGCCAUCUCCACAGGCUACAUGGAGAAUAUUUGACAUCCGUUGUGGCAGGGCAGCCCAGAAAUCCUGGGUUCCUUCCAAAAGAGAGGUUUUCCUGGCAAACAGCUAUUACUAUUGUUCCUCAGUAGCUGCCUAUGACUUUGUAUAUCCAGCUAACAUAAAACUUGGGGCAAGGGGGGAGGGGUGUUGUUUAUUGGUUAUUGAGACAAUCUGAUUAUGGAGCUGGCCCAAGCCGGCCUCCAAAGUCUUCCAAUGUGCUGUAACUAUAAGCAUGUACUACCAUGCCUAAUGCCAGAAAUUUCUUUUUGAAGAUUCUUUUAUGUGCGUGGGUGUUUUGCCUGCAUGUAUGUCUGUAUGUGAAAUGUGUUUCUGGUGACUGUGCGGUGGUCAGAAGCGAGCAGCAGAUUUUCUGGAACUGGAGUUACAGAUGGUUGUGAGCUGCCUUGUGGGUGCUGGGAACUGAACCUGCAUCUCUGCAAGAGCAGCAAAUGCUCUUAACCACUCUGCCAUCUCUUCAGCCACAAUUUCUUAAUAGAAAAACAAAAACAAAGCAAAUACUACUACAAGGCCAGACCCAGGAAGGAUUGCCACCUGUGCUUAGUGCUGUCCUCACGAGAACAGACAGGCACCUUGGACCAGAGAAGCAUCUAGAGACACUGAGACUGCUGAGUAGGGUAUUGGUACAGGCUGGGAAGUGACUGCAGCCACCGAUGUUCAGAAGUGCUGGCGUUGUUCUCCCUCACUGCUCAGGUGUGCAUCUCCAUUCUCUCUCAGUCCGUGACUGGAAUUGACAAAAAGAACAACAGAGAUUAAAUACUGGUAUAUCUAGGUACAUGAUAAUAAACAUCCUGACCUCUGGCCUCAUAGAAGAGAGGCUUGGGCGGGUAUUCUGUGAUAGAUUAUGAGUUCUUGUUUGUCUUUUUCUGUUCCUUUUAUUGUUGGAAGCUCUACUUUCUAACUAGAAUGAGGGUGCUCUUCCCAUCUGCUGGUGAUCCAGAAAUGACUUUGGUUUAUCAAGGACAGAUUAACUAUUCUUCACGCAGGAAGAUGAGGUCAGUUUUCCUCUUCCUCCUUCCUGGCAGUGUAAGGAGCGCUGGGACCCAUUACUAAAGCUUAAUUCUGACCUAAGCUAUCGUAUCAUCUGGCCCUGGAUAUAAAGCUUGUACUAUGAGGGGAGCCUAGAUAUACAGUGAGGUAUGGGCAGGAGUGGGGGACUUUAGCCCCAGGAAAGAUACCACAUUCUCCUUGAUCCUCUUCCUUCCCAAAUCCCUUUCUUUACUCCCUUUCACCUCCCACUGGCCAGCUCAGUUCUUGGCCACCUGAUUACCUCCGAUCUGACCAGAUAUGAUAAGUAGUUAUCACUCCUUACACCUCCUUCCACUUCUUUCUUCACAGCUGAGAGAUAGCUGAAUUUGAAUUGUUUCUACCACUGAAUAUCACAGGAUCUGAAUUAUAUUCCCAGCCUCUGCUGCCCAGCUUGACUCCACGACUGCCUUUGGAUUGGGAAGCUCUCAUCAGCCCCUGCAAGUAUACCCAGGCCUAGACUGCUAUGUUUGUGGCAUCAAGACCCUGCUCUGGAGUAGAGAGCGACUUUAGAGGUGCAACUGGGGCCUUGGCCCUAAAUGUGUGUAUGCCUGUGCAUUGGGCACACUGGUUUAUUAGUGUUAUUUCAGCAUUGUGAUGCAGAGAGAGUAAGUGUAACAGCUGCUCCUUGCUUGCAGUGUUUAUUGUUACCUAGAGACAACCUCCUGGCUUUUUCCCAGAUUCCCCCCCAAGCCCAGCCCCCUCCCUGCCCUGCCAACAAUCCUGUUCUCUCCACACUGAUGGGAAAUUUAUAGCUUGCCUAUAUCAUACCAUUAACUCUCUCCUGUCCAUAGGGUAUAUGGGUCAAGGGAAACCAAAGUGGAGAUUGGCAUGCUUUGGGUCCAGAAUGAAAUAAUGUAUAAAGAACAGAGGGAGGAAGGAGAAUUAUUCUUCCAUUCUAUGUCCAAUUUUAGGCCCCAGUUCUGCAAUCCAAGUAGGUCUGACACUGCUUAGUUUCUGAGAACAGAUGAGAUCAGUCACAUUUGCGGUGGUAGGGCCAUAACCCAGUUGAUCUCCUGGCUCUUGUAUGAGAAGAAAAGAAGGAAGAGUUUUGGAUCUGGUCUUGACAUCCUAGAAGAGCUCCUCUGAACCUAGCCUUGGGAUCUUGACAUCUUCCUGCCAAAAUUAUUCUCUUUCCUGACCAUCUCUUUAGUCCUUUAUUGGGUUGUCUAAAUUUGAGCAAAUGCAGCAAGAUAGUUUUGGAAUGGAAGGGGAAUACAGAGUGGCAGAAUCCAUAGCACCUCCUUCUUGUCUGAGCAAGGUAACUGGAUGUCACAUGGAGGCAGGAGGUUCUAGUUUGAGAAAUGCUGGCUAGACCACCACAAUGGAAUUGAUGUCAGACAUGAAGCCUGCUGUGGAGCCUGUUGGGAAAACAUUUACCUGCUAAGGUCCUAAGAGACUUCAGGCAUUCUUGCAGCUGGCCUUCUUGAUUUGAUUGAAGUUCUCUUCUGCUUGUCUUUCAUGGUCCAUUUUCUUGAAUUGCUCUUAGUUUGAUACCUUCGGGUAGAUCCAAGUGACUGAGAAGAGAGAAGUGCUCUCCCUAUUCAUAAUCUCAGCAGAGACAGACAGAACCCCUGCCAUCUACUUAGGACUUUUCAUAGGGGAGAGCCAUGUACCUAUUCACCAUCCACAUGGAAGCAGAAGAGAGAGAAAAUGAUUUUAAUGGAAAGGGUUGAAUUAAGCAUAUGAAAAACUUACUCGUGAAAUGAAAUAGUUCUCUUCAUACUCUGUCCUUCUGCCUAUAAUGAAUUUGUCUGUGCCUACCCAAGGGACAUUGAGUAACAUGGUUCUUUUUCCAGAUCUCCUUCACAUAGAUAGCCUCAGCACAGUUUCCCCAUAGUGCAGUACUCUUUGAGACUUUGAAAUGUUGUUUUAGGGUGGUUAGAUUGCAUUGCAGAGGCAUUCCUGGGUUCUGGUACCAGCCAUACUUCCCUAGUUUGAAAUGCAAAUGGCAGUAAUCCCUUGAGAAGCCCACCUCCACAUUCUUGGGUAUGUCUUACAUUUUUGUUCAAGUGCCUUUCUUUAACUGCAGUGAUUAAAAUCUCUUAAUUCCAUUGUUUCAGAACAAAUUUUAAAAAAUAAAUGCAAAUAAACUAUGUUUUUCAAGAUUGUGACAAUUUCAUCAGAGUGUAUAAAGCCUAAUUCUCAAAAGGUCUCAGUCAGCAGUAUUUAAUACAUUCAAUUAUUAUUGGUUUUUGUCUGUUUUAUUUUUAUGUGUAUGGGUGUUCUGCUUGUUUGUCUGUGAACCAUGACUCUACCUGGUACCCACAGACAUAAGAAGCUGUCAUCAGAUCUCCUGGAACUGGAGAUACAGAUUUAUUAUAAGCUACCAUGUGGAUGCUAGGAGUCAAUUCAGGUCCAUCUCAAGAGUGAUAAGUGCUCCUAAUCCUGAGCCAUCUCUCCAGCCCCAAAUUCUACUGUCUUUAUGAACUCGUAGACCUGACAUUGCUUAAAGAUUGCAUGAUUCCCUGAAGAUUAUUUCUAUGUGUUUGUGUGUGUAUACAAGCUUGGGAGAUUGUCCAGACAUUUCUUUAUGAUACGAAGGAAAGGUAGCAGUCCCCCUGUAGAGGAAGUAACCCUCUUUUCAUUUUUCCUAAUUUCUGUCCCUCUAUAGUCAAGAGAAAAGCCACUGUUUCCAGACUAUAUCUAAGCUUCAUUCAGGAUAGAUCUGAGAGCAGUAGCCAAUAAGAAGUAUAGCAACUAGCACUUAUCAGGUAUUUCAGUUUGUUAAAUGUAUUUAUAUACAUUAUCCUACUGUCUAUCCACCAGGCAUUUUACUGUGUGUAUAUUUUGUAUAUAUAUGUUUAAAGUCUAUUGUAUUACCUAGACUUACUGAAAUAUAAGGCUCACUUCCUAUUGUUUGUUUUAAAGAUCUACUUUGAUUUAUGUGUAUGAGUAUUUUCUUGCAUGUCUGAUGUCCA
This is an RNA transcript of Microtus ochrogaster (prairie vole), 9295 nucleotides long. It is a transcript of the gene named cyclin dependent kinase 12, with no coding region annotated. The record is from RefSeq and is a predicted model, not a curated record. The transcript is spliced from 18 exons. NCBI's taxonomy places the organism in Eukaryota, Metazoa, Chordata, Mammalia, Rodentia, Cricetidae.